GUCAUGCUAGUAGCACCUUACGACGAUAGCCACCUCCGUCACCUGACACACCUUUACCAUCGAGUUGCAGGCAUAGACCCACCAUUAAAGAGUCAUGACUGAUGCACACCUUGCCGCCUAGAUGGCCGAGCAUGUCAAACCCUAAUUGACACCCGCACGCGCCAACUAGUGGGCGUGACACAUGCCAUGGAGCAAUGUGGGUCGUCCUAGUUCCAGGGUUCGCAUGUGGUCACUUUGUUUCCUUCGCUAGCGAUGCAUUUUUUUCCUUUUUAGGUUUUUUGUUUUGCUUUUUCAUUCUCUUUUUUAUGGUUGGGUUCUCUACUAGUUUUUUUUACGUUUUUUUACUUUUUAUAUUUUCAGUACUGUA
This 367-nucleotide long non-coding RNA is filed under the name Hordeum vulgare. Its description in RNAcentral is "long non-coding RNA (HVUL_LNC002435)". The record is from RNAcentral. Lineage: Eukaryota; Viridiplantae; Streptophyta; Magnoliopsida; Poales; Poaceae.